AGGACCUUACCUGAACAGAAUCUAGUUUAUAGGCUCAUACCUCUACAUCUUUAAGCACUAAGGAGACAGGAACUCAAAUCUGGAAGAUGAAACAUGACUGUGCGGCAAGAUCAUGAUUAAUAGCCCUUCCGGUGUCUUUGGACCAUAGAAGGGCAGUGGAGAAUUGUUCUCAGCCUGUGUUCAAUGGGCUUGAAAUUGUCACACAGUAGUAUGACAGACU
Ricinus communis (castor bean) is the source of this 220-nucleotide non-coding RNA. NCBI's taxonomy places the organism in Eukaryota, Viridiplantae, Streptophyta, Magnoliopsida, Malpighiales, Euphorbiaceae. The record is from Rfam.